AAUUUUCGUUUCAAUUUAAUUUAUUACAGCUGCUUCAAUUUCAUAAGUCAUGUGGCGGAAUCUAGGUGCAGACUACAGUCACACACACAGUAGCGUUCACUACACACAGCAUUAUAGUCUGUGGUAGACACAGAAAGCGCGCCAAAACAUAAACAUCAAAUUUUACUCUGAAUAUUUUAACUAUAGGUAAAUCUUGUGAAUAAUAUUGUUAUUUCACCUCAAAUACAACUUUAAAAAAUGUUGCCCUUUAGCUAUGUAUCGAUAAUUUUAUUGCAGCAAGUGAAUUAUGACUUUAUCGCGAUUCUAACAAGAAAAAUAUUAGUGAAAUUAAAAACACGAAUUCCAGACAGUCCGGUCAUCGCAAUGAGAGUAGUAUUCUGUACAAUAUCACCAGAAAAUGUAUAUCUCGGCAGCUGGAUAGAGGCACGCUGUCACUGAUAACAAUAGUGGUUGAAACUGCUACUGCUUUAGCGACAUUUAUUACUUUAAAACUAUGAAACUAUAACAAUAGUGACAAUAAAUAACUUUCAAAAUAUAAGCCAUCAUAUGUCCUGUACAUCUGUGAUCAUAUAAAGUUAGUUAGGUAAUAAAAAAAUUUUUAAAGUAAAAA
Bombyx mori (domestic silkworm) is the source of this 610-nucleotide long non-coding RNA. RefSeq lists it as uncharacterized. Lineage: Eukaryota; Metazoa; Arthropoda; Insecta; Lepidoptera; Bombycidae. The transcript has 2 exons. The record is from RefSeq and is a predicted model, not a curated record.